GUCGGUUCAGUGGUGGCGACUGUAAUCCAAGCUACUGGGAGGCUGAGGCUGGCGGAUCGCUUGAGCUCAGGGCUUAUGGGCUGCAGUGUACUGUGUAGAGAAGGUGUCCGCACUACGUUUGGUAUUGAUAUGAUGCUCCUGGGGUAGCUCGGGGCCAGCAGGUCAUUUAAGGAGGGGUGAACCAGUCUAGGUCAGAGACGGAGCAGGUCAAAGCCCCAGUGUCGGUCAGUAGCGGGAUUGCACCUGUGAAUAGACACUGCAGCACAAAACUGAGCGAGACAAAAAUUUU
This is an unclassified non-coding RNA of Carassius auratus (goldfish), 289 nucleotides long. It matches the Rfam family "Metazoan signal recognition particle RNA". Rfam says of the family: The signal recognition particle (SRP) is a universally conserved ribonucleoprotein. It is involved in the co-translational targeting of proteins to membranes. NCBI's taxonomy places the organism in Eukaryota, Metazoa, Chordata, Actinopteri, Cypriniformes, Cyprinidae. The record is from Ensembl.